CUCUCUCACUGGCAGCAACCCAGCGCUUCCAUUGCUGACCUCUACCGACCUCUACCUGUGGUCCUUCCUCUACUGCAGCAGAGACACUGUUUUCUUCCUUUGUUCUUCCAACCCCAUGGCACAGAAACACUCUCCACUGCGGCCAAGGAUUGCAGGAGAGGUGGCAUCAGUGAUUCAAGACUUCUUUUCCUACCUCUUCAGUGUUUCUUUCAGUGAUCUGAAGUUAAAGCCAGGUACCAUAAGUGCUCACCUGAUUUUUGCUGCUUACAAAGGGGGAAUAUCACAGAAGUGAAGUGCAAUUCUCAUCAUGUCAUAUCAAGAGCACACACUAACAAACAACAUGACUUAUUGCUGAAUAUUGAACUUGAUCACCUGGCUGAGGUAGUGUUUGCCAGAUUUCUCUGUAAAGGUGAAUAAACUGACACUGGAACAUUCAGGAACUUCUUCAUGGUCAUGGUCACCCAGCUAGAGUGUGGAAGCCAGGCUGUCUGAUUCCAGGAUCUGUGUUCUUAAUCCUAUACAUAAGGAAGCCAUAAUGAGUCAACCACUAUUUUUAAGAUUCACAGAUGUUCGGGUCCAAUUCACCAGAAUGCCAAGUUAUACAGGGUUGUGGAAUCAAAAACUGCAAUUAGUAAUAAAAUGUGAUGCUAUCUAGAA
RNAcentral lists this long non-coding RNA (657 nucleotides) under Homo sapiens (human). Its description in RNAcentral is "novel transcript". Lineage: Eukaryota; Metazoa; Chordata; Mammalia; Primates; Hominidae. The record is from RNAcentral.